GGUUGGUUGUCCUCUUAACCAAAGAGUGUGGAGACACUGGUAUGGCAUACAGGUGAGAUGUAAGGAUACAUCUGUACUGGACGUGACCGACUCCGGAGCUAUUUCUGCUGUCAAGAUUUACUCCGAUGGGAUAUGGGUAUAACUGUCCCUCCGACCUAAGACCGCCACGGUGACUUGCAAGCAACUCACUGUACUUAGGCACUGGACUAUCUGAAUUUCUAAUUCAGUGACGGAAGGAUGCUGGGUGUAGUCAAGUACUUGACUUGUCGAUGCAUGUG
This 278-nucleotide long non-coding RNA is filed under the name Elaeis guineensis (African oil palm). RNAcentral describes it as "long non-coding RNA (EGUI_LNC044741)". Lineage: Eukaryota; Viridiplantae; Streptophyta; Magnoliopsida; Arecales; Arecaceae. The record is from RNAcentral.